This 986-nucleotide ribosomal RNA is filed under the name uncultured bacterium. RNAcentral describes it as "bacterial SSU rRNA". It matches the Rfam family "Bacterial small subunit ribosomal RNA", at positions 77 to 1084 of the family's 1533-position model. The record is from RNAcentral.
ACUUCGGUGAAGGAUUAGCGGCGAACGGGUGAGGAACACGUGUAGAAUCUGCCUUCAACUCUGGGAUAACUCCGGGAAACCGGGGCUAAUACCGGAUAUGAGCCUUGAUCGCAUGAUCGGGGCUGGAAAGUUUUUCGGUUGAAGAUGACUUCGCGGCCUAUCAGCUUGUUGGUGAGGUAAUGGCUCACCAAGGCGACGACGGGUAGCCGGCCUGAGAGGGCGACCGGCCACACUGGGACUGAGACACGGCCCAGACUCCUACGGGAGGCAGCAGUGGGGAAUAUUGGGCAAUGGAGGAAACUCUGACCCAGCGACGCCGCGUGCGGGAUGAAGGCCUUUGGGUUGUAAACCGCUUUCAGCAGGGAAUAAGCGCAAGUGAAGGUACCUGCAGAAGAAGCACCGGCUAACUAUGUGCCAGCAGCCGCGGUAAUACAUAGGGUGCAAGCGUUGUCCGGAAUUAUUGGGCGUAAAGAGCUCGUAGGUGGUUUGUUACGUCGGUUGUGAAAUUCAGGGGCUCAACCCCUGACUUGCAGCCGAUACGGGCAAGCUAGAGUUUGGUAGGGGAGACUGGAAUUCCUGGUGUAGCGGUGGAAUGCGCAGAUAUCAGGAGGAACACCGAUGGCGAAGGCAGGUCUCUGGGCCAAUACUGACACUGAGGAGCGAAAGCGUGGGGAGCGAACAGGAUUAGAUACCCUGGUAGUCCACGCCGUAAACGGUGGGCGCUAGUUGUGCGAACCUUCCACGGUUUGUGCGACGCAGCUAACGCAUUAAGCGCCCCGCCUGGGGAGUACGAUCGCAAGAUUAAAACUCAAAGGAAUUGACGGGCCCCGCACAAGCAGCGGAGCAUGCGGCUUAAUUCGACGCAACGCGAAGAACCUUACCAGGCUUGACAUAUACAGGAUAUGGCAGAGAUGUCAUAGCCGCAAGGUCUGUAUACAGGUGGUGCAUGGUUGUCGUCAGCUCGUGUCGUGAGAUGUUGGGUUAAG